CUGACUGCUAUCGGAUUGAUACUAAGCCAUGCGAGUCUUUGUAGUAAUACAAGGCAGACGGCUCAGUAACACGUAGUCAACCUACCCUAUGGACAAGAAUAAUCUCGGGAAACUGGGCAUAAUUCUUGAUAGAUCAUAAUGCCUGGAAUGGUUUAUGGUUAAAAUGAUUCGUCGCCAUAGGAUGGGACUGCGGCCUAUCAGCUUGUUGGUGAGGUAAUGGCCCACCAAGGCGAUUACAGGUACGGGCUCUGAGAGGAGAAGCCCGGAGAUGGGUACUGAGACACGGACCCAGGCCCUAUGGGGCGCAGCAGGCGAGAAAACUUUGCAAUGUGCGAAAGCACGACAAGGUUAAUCCGAGUGAUUUCUGCUAAAGAAAUCUUUUGCCAGUCAUAAAACCACUGGUGAAUAAGGAGUGGGCAAGUUCUGGUGUCAGCCACCGCGGUAAAACCAGCACCUCAAGUGGUCAGGAUGAUUAUUGGGCCUAAAGCAUCCGUAGCCGGCUUUGUAAGUUUUCGGUUAAAUCCAUGUGCUCAACGCAUGGGCUGCCGAAAAUACUGCAUGGCUAGGGAGUGGGAGAGGUAGACGGUACUCAGUAGGAAGGGGUAAAAUCCUUUGAUCUAUUGAUGACCACCUGUGGCGAAGGCGGUCUACCAGAACACGUUCGACGGUGAGGGAUGAAAGCUGGGGGAGCAAACCGGAUUAGAUACCCGGGUAGUCCCAGCUGUAAACGAUGCAGACUCGAUGAUGCAUUGGCAUAAUAGCCAGUGCAGUGUCGCAGGGAAGCCGUUAAGUCUGCCGCCUGGGAAGUACGUACGCAAGUAUGAAACUUAAAGGAUUGGCGGGGGAGCACCACAAGGGGUGAAGCCUGCGGUUCA
Molecule: ribosomal RNA, 875 nt
Filed under: uncultured marine group I thaumarchaeote
Lineage: Archaea; Thermoproteati; Nitrososphaerota
Description: SSU rRNA
Rfam family: Archaeal small subunit ribosomal RNA
Source: RNAcentral